Molecule: long non-coding RNA, 2471 nt
Organism: Hipposideros armiger (great roundleaf bat)
Lineage: Eukaryota; Metazoa; Chordata; Mammalia; Chiroptera; Hipposideridae
Exons: 3
Source: RefSeq, a predicted model, not a curated record
CAUCUGCAAUCCCAGUUAAUCAUUGAGUGCCUACUAAGUGCCAGCCCAGUUCUAGAGGCUGGGCAGGGUGAAGGGUGAGGAGAAUAAAUAUUAGCAAGCAACAUCCAGACUUCAAGGAUCUCAGGAUCGAAUUGGGGGAAUGAACUUGUCUACAUCUCAGCAGGAUGCUAGAAAAAUUAAUCAGGGCCAAUCAAGGCGUAACCCGAAGCCUGGAAUUUUCACUAAGGAGGAGGCAUUCUGAUUACGGGAAAAGUGAGGAAGUCAAUGAGGUCAGGACAAACACCACGGACAAGCAGUUCCUGAGCUGGGUAUUGCAGAAUAAGUUUUAAUGGACAAAAAAGAAAAAUGAAGAAAUGGCACCCAGAGCUAAGGAAACAUCAUGACAAAGGGCGCAGAGUCCCAAAGGAGGGCGCAGUUCACGGUGGCCCAGGCGGGGAUCAAACCGGCAACCUUGGUGUUAUUAGCACCACACUCUAACCAACUGAGCUAACUGGCCAGCCCUGUUAGAGACUUUUAUUUCCCUGUUCUGCUUCAGAGCAGAUUUGAAAUACACCAAAAGGUUCUUCAGGCAGGGCAGUUGGGUUAAUGCAUGAGCUUUCAAUCCUAGCUCCAAACUGCUGUGACACUGGACAAGUCAUUCUGUUUUCCUGAUGCUCAGUUUUCUCAUCUCUUAAAGGAAAUGCAGUUUAAUUAAUGGCCACAUGAGGUGGCUGGGAGGAGUAAAUGAGAGACUGCCUAAAAAGUACCGAGCACAGACCAGCUGCGGUAAACACGGAACAAACGCUAUGUAUGAUUGUUACUCCACACCACCAGUUUACUAAUGGCCAAUGAACCUCCCUGAGGACGUAGCAGAGACUGAGAAAAAAACACUCCAUUUCAGUCGCUUGUUUCCUACCACCUGGCACGUUUGUCCUUUUUCCAAAUCAUCAGCUAAAUAAAGGGUUGUGCCUGAUAACUUGAAUGGUACUUCCGACUCCAAAAAGACCAUUUUCAAUGCCCCCCUCAAGUAGCUGCCCUCUUCUCCUCCUCCCCCCAGGAAGCCUGGCUGACCACUUCAACCUGCAAAGUUUGUCCUCUUUGUGACUGCCCAGCUGUUGUUCACUUCAGGGCGUUCACUAUUAUGUAAACUAGCGCAGGAAAAGGUCAGCUCAGCUACACCCCUGAGCCCUCAGACUGUCUUGGGGUGGGGGUGGGGGUCACAAAAUCUCUGGCAGUGGCUGGUCUAUCCUGUACCCACAAACACACCCACCCAGCUGGCAACUCCCUCCUCCUUUUCUUCCCCAUCUUCCUUAAGUUCCAUGAUGAGCUGAAUUCCUGCUCCCAAGACCACUUUCUCCUUGAAAACUUUAUUGUUCUGAAUAAAACCUGCCACAAUCCAUCUUUCAUUGUGUCUUAAUUCGAUAUCUCUACACUUUAAGGUGUUUGGGGUUUAAGGCUUUGAAAAAAAUUUUUUUCAUCAAGUAUUUAAAUCAUUCUCUCUCCUCUUUACUUAUAGACACUCAAGCCUGCUGAUUAACUUUUCAAUCAAAGCUGCCUACAACACGCACGCUGGCGCUGGUGCAGGCAGCAGUGACUGCAGCCUCGGCAGUAACUGCAAGAGUCAUUUCACUGACUUCCCCUGCAUCCGUGCUGCCCCCGCCUGAAGCAGGGGCAUGUCAGGAAUAAUGUCCCUCCUGUCAACGUCCUGUGAUUCUGUGCCAGAAACAAUUCAUGGAUCACUGACAUGAAGUAGGAAGCACCAUCACUUCAAAAUGUCCUCUGGGUGGAGUUCAGUGUUGCUGUUUCCCAAGCUCACCUCAGAGGAUCGGUGUUUUAUCUUUUCCCAGUACCUCCACCCGCUGCACAGGCGUGAGAGCGCCUACCGGACUCUCAGUACAUCCCGGUUUUGUUCAUUACUACCACUGAGCGCCGUUAUGACCGAGCAGCAGACUGCCACUUCAGUGACAAGCAAAGAAAUAAACAUAACAUCUUUUACAGCUAGAAUAGAGGUCUCUUUUAUCUUCUGGCUUCGGCAGUGAAAACAGAACUGGAAUUGUAUCAUUGCUAAGGAAAACACCAAGGACAAUCUCCUUAUAGUUAUAUUAAUGCAACCUGGCAAUUUUCCAAACCAAAGCGAACGUACAAGAAAUUUAACCAAAUGCCAUAGGAAAGCUUCCUCAAAUUAUCAUAAAACAUUUUUUAAACACUCAGGACCUAAACAACCAUCAUGGUAAGUUUUUAAACGCAUUGCACUUUCACGGGGCAAAGAAGAUUUUUUUUUUCCAGAUGAUCACUCCACUCUCUUUAAAAAAGGCUCCUGCCAAUGUGAGAAAAUGGAGGUGCCAGAGGUGGAUUGUGAAUCAGUGUUAUUACACGUCAUACUGGCAGCCAUUAUCUGUGUGCCUUAGCCUGAACACUAAGUAAGCCAGCUUGGAAAACCUAAAGCAAAAAACAAAUAAAAAUCCUCUGAUUCUGAGAUAAGGAUCUGUGUG